ACUAUGCCCCGCCGUAAACUUAGAUAUAUUAGUACAACAAAUAUCCGCCCGGGAACUACGAGCGCCAGCUUAAAACCCAAAGGACUUGGCGGUGCUUCAGACCCCCU
RNAcentral lists this ribosomal RNA (107 nucleotides) under Sprattus sprattus (European sprat). RNAcentral describes it as "partial 12S ribosomal RNA". Lineage: Eukaryota; Metazoa; Chordata; Actinopteri; Clupeiformes; Clupeidae. The record is from RNAcentral.